This 379-nucleotide small RNA is filed under the name Arabidopsis thaliana (thale cress). RNAcentral's name for it is "ATSL257020". The record is from RNAcentral. Lineage: Eukaryota; Viridiplantae; Streptophyta; Magnoliopsida; Brassicales; Brassicaceae.
UUUUAUGAUAUGUUAGACGUAUCGAACAAUCUGUUAUAUGAAAGUUGUCGGGAAGGACAUUCUCCUUUAUUCGUUGCAACAAAGAUGAUGAAUAUAAGGACGUAUUAGAAUUUUUCUAAAGAUUUUGUAGAUGUUUGGUCCAAACAUCAUCCUUGUGUAAAUGGCUUGGCCGAGCAUUAUCUUUCCCAAAAUCGACCCAAACAUCUACACAAUCUUCAGACAAAUUGUAAUCCGUCUUUAUAUUCAUCAUCCUUGUUGCAGCGAAUAAAGGAGAAUGCCCUCAUAUAAAGAACUCUUCGAUGCAUCUCACAUAUCAUAAAAACAUUUUGCUUCUAAAUUUGAUUCAUCUCCUCUAUUUCUAAUUUCCAUAAAAGAUUGC